RNAcentral lists this long non-coding RNA (286 nucleotides) under Bos taurus (domestic cattle). RNAcentral's name for it is "long non-coding RNA NONBTAT024568". The record is from RNAcentral. Lineage: Eukaryota; Metazoa; Chordata; Mammalia; Artiodactyla; Bovidae.
CUAAAAAAAUUUUUAAUAGGCUUAGAGAAAGAUGCUUUCCAAAUUACCAGUUUUUUAAAACUAAUACACCUCUUCAUCAUUUUGUGAUUCUGCUGGACAACUAGUGUUUUACAUGGAUCUCUUAAUCUUUAGAAAUUCUGGCUUAGAGUCCUAGACUCAGAGUGCAAAAAUCUGUGGUUUUAGAGACAAAGAACAGAAUGAGCAAACAUUUCAUCCAAGAUUUCUGGAUGAUUUCUAUGAUGAUUCCGUUGGGUACCAGCUGCCUCUGAACACAGAUCUGCCUGAU